ACAGAUUUGCUGCUGGUGUUGGCCAAGUGUAGCAUCUGAUCUUAAAAGUUUAAUAUCUGAUAUACCCUUGAUGAGAGGAUUUUAUAUUAAACAGACUUUGGGUCAUGGGAUCUGGACCUGGAGCUUGCUCUGUCUGCUUCAUGCAUUGCCCCAGCAUUGCAGUGACUCUGGGAAUGGUGCACUGAUA
Molecule: small nuclear RNA, 187 nt
Filed under: Zonotrichia albicollis (white-throated sparrow)
Lineage: Eukaryota; Metazoa; Chordata; Aves; Passeriformes; Passerellidae
Description: U2 spliceosomal RNA (ENSZALG00000016238.1)
Rfam family: U2 spliceosomal RNA
About the family: U2 is a small nuclear RNA (snRNA) component of the spliceosome (involved in pre-mRNA splicing). Complementary binding between U2 snRNA (in an area lying towards the 5' end but 3' to hairpin I) and the branchpoint sequence (BPS) of the intron results the bulging out of an unpaired adenosine, on the BPS, which initiates a nucleophilic attack at the intronic 5' splice site, thus starting the first of two transesterification reactions that mediate splicing.
Source: RNAcentral